RNAcentral lists this transfer RNA (72 nucleotides) under Salmo salar (Atlantic salmon). It matches the Rfam family "tRNA". Rfam says of the family: Transfer RNA (tRNA) molecules are approximately 80 nucleotides in length. Their secondary structure includes four short double-helical elements and three loops (D, anti-codon, and T loops). Lineage: Eukaryota; Metazoa; Chordata; Actinopteri; Salmoniformes; Salmonidae. The record is from Rfam by way of RNAcentral.
CUCCCUGUGGCUCAGUUGGUAGAGCAUGUUUUUUGCAAUGCCAGGGUUGUGGGUUCAAUUCCCACGGGGGGC